This 89-nucleotide transfer RNA is filed under the name Planctomycetota bacterium. RNAcentral's name for it is "tRNA-Leu". It matches the Rfam family "tRNA". From Rfam's summary of the family: Transfer RNA (tRNA) molecules are approximately 80 nucleotides in length. Their secondary structure includes four short double-helical elements and three loops (D, anti-codon, and T loops). The record is from RNAcentral. Lineage: Bacteria; Pseudomonadati; Planctomycetota.
GGCCGAGUGGCGGAACUGGCAGACGCAAGGGACUUAAAAUCCUUUGGACCUAACGGUCCGUGCGGGUUCGACCCCCGCCUCGGCCACCA